Molecule: unclassified non-coding RNA, 295 nt
Filed under: Hevea brasiliensis (rubber tree)
Lineage: Eukaryota; Viridiplantae; Streptophyta; Magnoliopsida; Malpighiales; Euphorbiaceae
Source: RNAcentral
AUCGAGUACCUUGCUUCUCAUUUCUCACCUUUCGCACACACCUCCAAACAGUCCUCGCAAUUGUAUCAGCACACCUGCAAGAAACCUCGCGGGCAACCAUGACGCCUGGCUCUUGCUGCUGUGGGUUGUGGAAUAGGAAGAGAAACGCUAAUCGCCAUCCCGCUGCAGAGAACAUAGAAGAAACUGCUAUUUCAAUUGAAGCAGCUGCCAGCACAGAAAAAGCAAAUGCAACAGGUAGUUUCUCUGGUGAAAAUAAAAUUGGCGACGGUACUUUUGGUGAAGUUUUCAAAGGAAA